RNAcentral lists this unclassified non-coding RNA (2301 nucleotides) under Hevea brasiliensis (rubber tree). Lineage: Eukaryota; Viridiplantae; Streptophyta; Magnoliopsida; Malpighiales; Euphorbiaceae. The record is from RNAcentral.
GUGCAACUUAAAAACUGCAAAAAUUGCAUGUUCAUGGUGUGCACCUGGAAAUACUUUUGGACUAGUCCAUAAGAAGUUUAAGGAUAAUUUAAUUGAAAUCUGAUUUAGAGAUAUGAUUGCAAAAGGUUAGGAUUAUGAGUUGCACAACCUUAGACUCUAUACUCUCAAAUCAGUGAGAUCGUAAUGCCUCCUUUCACACUUCCAGUGGCAGCAUUAUAUAUUGGGUACUGAUUCCAUGCCUUAAUACUCCUAGAAUUAGAAGGCUUGUCUGUCUUUUUGACAGAUCUCUAGUCUUAAUUGGGGAGCAACGAAACAGCAUGAAGUCAAAGCAAUUUGCUACUCUAAGGCUUCAUUUGUUUCAUAAAAAAAUUUUCUUGGAAGACCUUUUUUUUUGUUUUUUACCUUAGUGGGGCACUCCAAAAAAAUUGGUCUGCACAUAUUUUCCUGGUGAAAUGAGAGACUAACUUGAAAUAACUUAUUUUGAAAUGCGAAGUCAUUUUCAUGUACUUGUGAAAUUCAAAUUGGAAGGAACUUACCAAAAACCCAAUAGGCAUUUACUCACGAGUCCAUUGACCACUACUGGUGGUUGUUGGUCACUGUUGGCAGUUGCUUAGCCAACACCAGUGACCAUCAUAAUUUACCCUUGUUUUUGCGUAAUUAUCUUUAUAGUCCUAAACAUUACUAUGGUUUGUUUCUUUGAAAGCAAACUAAUUUUCUUAGAUGUACUGUAAAUUUUGGAGAAUAAUUUAUAGUUUAUUUUCUAUGCUGCGACCAAACGAAGGAAGAUAACUCAUUUCCUCAGAGAAUGUUUUCCAUGAAAUAUUUUCACAAACAAGAUAUUUUCUGCAAACCUGUGUCUAAAAGCCUUCAGUUUCACAAAUUCUGGAUUCUGCAUUGUGUAACCCAGCAAUUGAAUGUGAACACUGUAUCGAUGGCUUAAAGCAUAUCUCAUUUGUGAAGGUGAGGGAUCAAACAGGCUGCCUGACCUGAUAUUUUUCCCUAACAUUAAAACCUUCUAUUUAAAGAGGAAACUGAAUAUAAAAUUUCUCUGAAUAACUCCAAACCAGCCUCCUCUUGGCCGCAUGACCUCAGGGCUGGUGUAGAAUGAGCUGAAACAAAAUGCUGACUGGUCUAUCAAAAGAAACACAGGGAUUAUCAAAAUUUCGGGCUCCAGCUUCAAUUCCUGCAGCUGUUGUUUCAAUUAGCAGGCAAACAUGACAAGUGUAUCUGUGUCUUCUGCUAGAUGUACACAAUACGAGAAUCUAGCAUUCAUGAUUACCAUAUUCUCCAUUUGUCCGUUCAUUUUACUUGUUCCUGAAAUUAUGUGCUUUAAUUUUGGAAUCAUCAUGUUGUACUUUUGUGGUUUAAUCUCCAUUAGAAAUUCUUCAGCCUCUGAUAUGUCAAUUUCCCAUAUUAAAUGUUGGUUCUAUCUUCAUUCCGAUGUAAUUACUUGCUUAAAUGAUUUUUACACAAAUUUGGCUGGCUUCUUUCAUUUGCAUGAAAAUUUUCUCCUUCUGGCACCAAACAAUCCACUCAUUAUCCUCAUGUUUACAUGAUUAAUUAUCAUUAUUUCCUCAUAAUAAACACCAAGAAAGCUUACCAUUCCAAUAAGACAUAUUAUUUUUCCAUUAAAUAGAUUUUUUAAGUUGAAUCCAGUUCUGUUUUUUAAGUAGAUUUUACCAUUUUCAUUGUGUUCAUUUUCAUUGUGUUGCCAGGGAUUAUGAUGGGAAAGUGACUCCUGAGGAGGUUGCAUCUGCUGCUAUGUACCUCAAAGACCACUUGGGCAAGCAGGGUAUCCAAGAACUUAUAAGUAACCUCUCCAAAGAUAGAGAAGGAAAAAUCCUUGUUGAAGAUAUUGUCAAGCUAGGCAGUGAAAUGGAAGAUGAUGAAACCACCGAGGAAGGAAAAGAAAAGCAUAGAGGAUAGCAAGGCGUUUACUGCAUUUUGUGCCAGGAUCUCAAAAAUAAUGGGGGAGGAAGAACAUUGGAAAGAGUGAAAUUUUCUUACUUAAAAGCAAAUAAAACAUGUUUAUACACAACUAGUUGGUACUAGUAUUCUUCAUGUGGGCUGUGGUACAGUGGUAAAUUUCUUAUCAUGAGGACCUGGCUAUCUUAUUACAUAUUGCAAGAAUGUUAUAUGUAUACCAUGGAUGAGGAUAUACGAGUAUCUUGUUGUACUGACUCUCUCCUGCUUUUGAGAUGAAGGGAGCUGUCAUUGAUAUAAUAUAUACAUGUUACAUGGCAACUCUCUGUUACCCUAUGUGAUAUAAUUAGGGUGGCCACUAGUCAAGUCGAAAUAGGC